Molecule: ribosomal RNA, 649 nt
Filed under: Phaeocollybia spadicea
Lineage: Eukaryota; Fungi; Basidiomycota; Agaricomycetes; Agaricales; Phaeocollybiaceae
Description: eukaryotic LSU rRNA
Rfam family: 5.8S ribosomal RNA (bases 252-405)
Source: RNAcentral
UGCGGAAGGAUCAUUAUUGAAAUAAACUUGGUGUGGGUUGCAGCUGGCCUUUGGGCAUGUGCUCACCUUCAUCAUCUUUAUAUUUCCACCUGUGCACCUUUUGUAGACAGGAAAGACAAGGGAAUUUAUUGUGGUGCCAUUUUAGGCCCCCAUUUAUUUCUUGUGUAUUCCUUGUCUAUGUUUUUAUAUACCCCAAAAAUGUAACAGAAUGUUAAUCUAUGGGCCUUUGUGCUUAUAAACAAAAAUUAUACAACUUUCAGCAACGGAUCUCUUGGCUCUCGCAUCGAUGAAGAACGCAGCGAAAUGCGAUAAGUAAUGUGAAUUGCAGAAUUCAGUGAAUCAUCGAAUCUUUGAACGCACCUUGCGCUCCUUGGUAUUCCGAGGAGCAUGCCUGUUUGAGUGUCAUUAAAUUAUCAAAAAAAGAUCUUCAAUGCUCUUGUUUUGGAUGUGAGGGUUUUUGUUGGCGAAAGUCGACUCCCUUGAAAUGUAUUAGCUUGGUUGACUAGACUUUGUCUAUUGGUGUGAUAAUUAUCUACGCCAUUGGAUUGUCUGCUUGUCAAACUGCUUCUAAUUGUCCCUUUAGGGACUCUAUUAAAUGACCAUUUGACCUCAAAUCAGGUAGGACUACCCGCUGAACUUAAGCAUAUCA